Molecule: ribosomal RNA, 232 nt
Filed under: uncultured bacterium
Lineage: Bacteria
Description: partial 16S ribosomal RNA
Rfam family: Bacterial small subunit ribosomal RNA
Source: RNAcentral
UCGGAAUUACUGGGCGUAAAGCGUGCGCAGGCGGUUUUGUAAGCCAGAGGGGAAAGCCCCGGGCUUAACCUGGGAAUGGCAUUUGGGACUGCAAGGCUGGAGUGUGGCAGAGGAGACUGGAAUUCCCGGUGUAGUGGUGAAAUGCGUAGAUAUCGGGAGGAACACCAGUGGCGAAGGCGGCUUCCUGGCCUGUUCUUGACGCUGAGGCGCGAAAGCUAGGGGAGCAAACGGG